UACAGAGGGUGCGAGCGUUAAUCGGAAUUACUGGGCGUAAAGCGUGCGUAGACGGUUAUUUAAGUCGGGUGUGAAAGCCCCGGGCUCAACCUGGGAAUUGCAUUCGAGACUGAAUAGCUAGGGUACGGUAGAGGGAAGCGGAAUUUCCGGUGUAGCGGUGAAAUGCGUAGAUAUCGGAAGGAACAUCAGUGGCGAAAGCGGCUCUCUGGAACGGUACUGACGCUGAGACGCGAAAGCGUGGGGAGCGAACAGG
RNAcentral lists this ribosomal RNA (253 nucleotides) under uncultured bacterium. RNAcentral's name for it is "partial 16S ribosomal RNA". It matches the Rfam family "Bacterial small subunit ribosomal RNA", at positions 524 to 776 of the family's 1533-position model. The record is from RNAcentral.